This 433-nucleotide ribosomal RNA is filed under the name uncultured bacterium. RNAcentral's name for it is "partial 16S ribosomal RNA". It matches the Rfam family "Bacterial small subunit ribosomal RNA", at positions 29 to 507 of the family's 1533-position model. The record is from RNAcentral.
AACGAACGCUGGCGGCAGGCCUAACACAUGCAAGUCGAGCGAGGACUUCGGUUCUAGCGGCGGACGGGUGAGUAACGCGUGGGAAUGCGCCCUUCUCUACGGAAUAGCCCUGGGAAACUGGGAGUAAUACCGUAUACGCCCUAUUGGGGAAAGAUUUAUCGGAGAAGGAUCAGCCCGCGUUGGAUUAGGUAGUUGGUGGGGUAAUGGCCUACCAAGCCGACGAUCCAUAGCUGGUUUGAGAGGAUGAUCAGCCACACUGGGACUGAGACACGGCCCAGACUCCUACGGGAGGCAGCAGUGGGGAAUCUUAGACAAUGGGGGCAACCCUGAUCUAGCCAUGCCGCGUGAGUGAUGAAGGCCUUAGGGUUGUAAAGCUCUUUCAGCUGGGAAGAUAAUGACGGUACCAGCAGAAGAAGCCCCGGCUAACUCCGUG